This 164-nucleotide ribosomal RNA is filed under the name uncultured Bacillus sp. RNAcentral describes it as "partial 16S ribosomal RNA". It matches the Rfam family "Bacterial small subunit ribosomal RNA", at positions 371 to 529 of the family's 1533-position model. The record is from RNAcentral. Lineage: Bacteria; Bacillati; Bacillota; Bacilli; Caryophanales; Bacillaceae.
AUGAGGAGAAGUCUGAGGAGCACGCCGCGUGAGUGAUGAAGGUUUUCGGAUCGUAAAGCUCUGUUGUUAGGGAAGAACAAGUGCGAGAGUAACUGCUCGCACCUUGACGGUACCUAACCAGAAAGCCACGGCUAACUACGUGCCAGCAGCCGCGGUAAUACGAA